UACGUAGGGUGCAAGCGUUAAUCGGAAUUACUGGGCGUAAAGCGUGCGCAGGCGGUUUUGUAAGGCGGGUGUGAAAGCCCCGGGCUCAACCUGGGAAUUGCGAUGGAGACUGCAAGGCUUGAAUCUGGCAGAGGGGGGUAGAAUUCCACGUGUAGCAGUGAAAUGCGUAGAGAUGUGGAGGAACACCGAUGGCGAAGGCAGCCCCCUGGGUCAAGAUUGACGCUCAUGCACGAAAGCGUGGGGAGCAAACAGG
This 253-nucleotide ribosomal RNA is filed under the name uncultured bacterium. RNAcentral's name for it is "partial 16S ribosomal RNA". It matches the Rfam family "Bacterial small subunit ribosomal RNA", at positions 524 to 776 of the family's 1533-position model. The record is from RNAcentral.